This is a non-coding RNA of Pangasianodon gigas (Mekong giant catfish), 72 nucleotides long. NCBI's taxonomy places the organism in Eukaryota, Metazoa, Chordata, Actinopteri, Siluriformes, Pangasiidae. The record is from the annotation of a GenBank genome assembly.
AAAUCAAUUUAAUUCCUAAUAAUUCAUACAGUUUCUAAAGAGUGCAUGACAUAAAGGACGUGCCCUGGUCAG